Molecule: ribosomal RNA, 584 nt
Filed under: uncultured bacterium
Lineage: Bacteria
Description: bacterial SSU rRNA
Rfam family: Bacterial small subunit ribosomal RNA
Source: RNAcentral
GGGCGGGGGCACGGGGGGACCUACGGGAGGCAGCAGUGGGGAAUUUUCCGCAAUGGGCGAAAGCCUGACGGAGCAAGACCGCGUGGGGGAAGAAGGCUCUUGGGUUGUAAACCCCUUUUCUCUGGGAAGAACACAAUGACGGUACCAGAGGAAUCAGCAUCGGCUAACUCCGUGCCAGCAGCCGCGGUAAGACGGAGGAUGCAAGCGUUAUCCGGAAUGAUUGGGCGUAAAGCGUCCGCAGGUGGCAGUUCAAGUCUGCUGUCAAAGACCGGGGCUUAACCUCGGAAAGGCAGUGGAAACUGAACAGCUAGAGUAUGGUAGGGGCAAAGGGAAUUCCUGGUGUAGCGGUGAAAUGCGUAGAGAUCAGGAAGAACAUCGGUGGCGAAGGCGCUUUGCUGGACCAUAACUGACACUCAGGGACGAAAGCUAGGGGAGCGAAUGGGAUUAGAUACCCCAGUAGUCCUAGCCGUAAACGAUGGAUACUAGGUGUUGUCUGUAUCGACCCGGACAGUGCCGUAGCUAACGCGUUAAGUAUCCCGCCUGGGGAGUACGCACGCAAGUGUGAAACUCAAAGGAAUUGACGG